GGAUCUUUCUCUGGAGAUUGCUCCUCUUGGUGUCUUUUUGAGUAGAUGGAUGUACAGAACUUUGAAAGACAGGAAGAACAGAGCAAAGCACCCACCUGCCCAGCCUCCCACCAGUAAUCCUUGCUGAUGCAACUGGGAAUGUCACAGCUGCCCUGGUUCUGUCCCUUCACUGCUCCUUGUGCUCCAUAGUCCUUCACUGGCAGAACAGUAUGAGAAGCUGAGAAACUGCAGUGUCCUUGGCUAUGUACAGCACUGUUCAGCAGUGAGUAGAAACAUCAUCAUGUCAUCAACACUUUUGUUCUUCCAAAGCCAAAACAUAGCGUCAUACCGGACACUGUGAAGGACAUCAGCUCUGUCCUAGCUGAUACCAGGUUGCAUAAAUACGAUGAACUGGAGCUGACUUAGUCCAAAUAUCAGCAACUAAUAUACUGUAUGCUGGUAUCAAACUUUAAUACUGUGCAUAUAAGGACUUCCAGCAGUAGUAUCACUUCAUGUAUUAAAAGCACUGUGUUCUCUUUCUAUCUUGUGUCUCUCCAUGUUGUUCUAUUUGAUGGCCUCAAAGCCUAUGUCCUCUCAAGUCACAUCUGAUUGCCUUGCCUGCUUAGGGUGGCCCAUAGGUUCAUGUCUUGUGCUUCAGAAUUUAUAAUUAAACUAUUUGUCAGUGUCUGAAAAAUUUCCCUUGUGCGACUGUGCUGCUCCAAAAUGAACUGAAUAAUCCAGUCUGAGGCAGCAGAGGAGAAAUGGGCACCCCUUCUUCUUGCCUGGGACAGCGUCUAACAUCUGGAAUCAACCACCAUACCAACACUACCUCCGGAAGGUGUGUGGUGAGACAAACAAAUCACAAGCAGGAGAUACAGUUCAGCUCUGGAGAAAAGCAUAUGGAAGCUCUGAAGUGUUCCAGAAAAACUGCACGGAGAUGUCACUUUGCAUUUUCCCUUCCCUUAGGCAGAUGGAUGGUCUCGCUCUGCACCUUCUGAGUGAUGGAGCUUGGCAGUGUAGAAACUGAGUGCUGACUCUGCCCUGCUCACCUCACCUGCACCACACCACGUGCUUUGCAUCAGCAUGGCUCAGAGGAUUGUGCAGGAGUAGUCUGUUACAGCUCAAAGUCUUUUUGGUACACAAGCUGUGUAGUUUGAUGUAAACAGCCACAUUCUUGCUUUUAACAUAGCUUCACUGCUGCUGUUCUGAAGGCAAACCACCUCAGCUAAUGUGGGGACUUACUCUAUGCCCUGUAGCCAUCAUCUUUUCAGACAUGCUACAGGGUUCCUAGCCUGGGGCUGCGGAUCCCUUUAUGCAACAAGGGAAGUGCUCCUAGGAGUGCAUAAUCCACCCUGGAUUUUGCUCUCUAAGCUCCCAGCUGAAAAAGGAAUCUACGUAAUAGGCAUGUUGUAAAAAUAUCUGCUCUAGAUAUAUAUCAUUCCAAUACUAUGGCAAACUUGAACAAGCAGAAGCAGUGCUGCUCCUUGUUUUGUUCAGAUGCUGCUUAAGUCCUGACUUAUCUUCAUGUUGACAUGCAGGAUCACAUACUAGCUUUAAGCUUUUAAGAGAGUGUUUACUAGCUAAUCUCACUGCUGCUUGGCAUCUUUCUUUCCCCAGA
This is a long non-coding RNA of Gallus gallus (chicken), 1597 nucleotides long. RefSeq lists it as uncharacterized. Lineage: Eukaryota; Metazoa; Chordata; Aves; Galliformes; Phasianidae. The transcript has 3 exons. The record is from RefSeq and is a predicted model, not a curated record.